RNAcentral lists this ribosomal RNA (496 nucleotides) under uncultured bacterium. RNAcentral describes it as "partial 16S ribosomal RNA". It matches the Rfam family "Bacterial small subunit ribosomal RNA", at positions 30 to 523 of the family's 1533-position model. The record is from RNAcentral.
AUUGAACGCAGGCGGAAUGCUUUACACAUGCAAGUCGAACGGUAGAGGGGGCAACCCCUCGAGAGUGGCGAACGGGUGAGUAAUAUAUCGGAACGUGCCCAGUCGUGGGGGAUAACGUAGCGAAAGUUACGCUAAUACCGCAUACGAUCUAAGGAUGAAAGCGGGGGAUCGCAAGACCUAGCGCGAUUGGAGCGGCCGAUAUCAGAUUAGGUAGUUGGUGGGGUAAAGGCUCACCAAGCCAACGAUCUGUAGCUGGUCUGAGAGGACGACCAGCCACACUGGAACUGAGACACGGUCCAGACUCCUACGGGAGGCAGCAGUGGGGAAUUUUGGACAAUGGACGCAAGUCUGAUCCAGCCAUUCCGCGUGCAGGAUGAAGGCCCUCGGGUUGUAAACUGCUUUUGUACGGAACGAAAAGGUCUCUCUUAAUACGGGGGACUCAUGACGGUACCGUAAGAAUAAGCACCGGCUAACUACGUGCCAGCCGCCGCCGUAA